RNAcentral lists this long non-coding RNA (551 nucleotides) under Fukomys damarensis (Damara mole-rat). Its description in RNAcentral is "lncRNA (ENSFDAG00000022845.1)". Lineage: Eukaryota; Metazoa; Chordata; Mammalia; Rodentia; Bathyergidae. The record is from RNAcentral.
GAAGAGCUGGAGAGAGAGGCUUCGGUAAUAGGAGCAGCACCACCUCAGAGUUCCCUGAGAGGCGACAGCUGUAUUCUCUGGCCUUGUCCCUUGGGCACAGAGAAGGGAUUCCCAGAUAACUUGAGAGCACACAGAGCCUUUGCUGUCUUGUCCUGAGAGAAGAUUAAAAGAUGAGAGCCCAGAGGGAGAGAGAAAUGCUUUUCGAGUUAACGGCCCAAUGUGUGGAGAAUAGAGAGGAAGAGGAGGAAAGUGGGAACUCCCGAAUCCUGGGGGUGAUCACACCUACCAUUCUGGAGGACCGACAGACAGAAAGCAGACCUGAGCCGAAUGUGGAGGCCGUGCAGUUUCUUGGCGUCUUCAGGGGAAAUCUCUGCUUUUUAAGGCUCCUGACCUUGGAUCGCAGGCUGCUGGCCACUGCAGACUCCAGGGCAGGGCAGGUUGCCCAAAGGCGAAGCGGGGAGACCAAGAGCUUUGUGAGGUGCAGAGCUGAGGCUGGAGCAGCGCCCACCGGAAUCCACAGCAACCUUGAGGGCGGUGUUGCAGGACAUUGC